This 1120-nucleotide long non-coding RNA is filed under the name Homo sapiens (human). Its description in RNAcentral is "HSALNT0258089". Lineage: Eukaryota; Metazoa; Chordata; Mammalia; Primates; Hominidae. The record is from RNAcentral.
AAAGUAAUGGAGAAUGAGAGAGUUUAACAUUCUCUUAGGAGGAAGAUUUAAUCCAGCAGCUGACACAAAGUGUUUGCAGUCGUGGCCCGGGAAUCACGGGAGUUGAAUCGGAGCCCCUGAAGAUCACGUUCCCAAUGAACAAGUGCAGGAACAGAGGCCACAGCACAUACCCAGGGACAUCAGAACUUCUCACAUACAGUCUUCAGAGCCUGGGACCUUUCAUUGUGAAAGAGGAGAGGACAAGCUUUUCCCAUGCGGGUGAGCAGCGAAUCCAAGUUGCCUGUCUCCACUCUUCAAAGGCAGGAAAUUGUUUCACCAUGUUCCACAAAAGGAAUAUGGUCUGCAAAUGGAAGAAUCAUUUGGGAAAGCAGCUUAUGCAGGAGCCCCAGGAGGGUGGCUGCAGUUGAUUCAAUGGUCUCAUGACGGUGUGAUGUGUGAUGCAGUAGCCUCCUGGCAAAGAAGUGCCCCCAAGCAGACCCGCUGUAUCCUUGGACCCUGCAGCAGCCAAACUACAAUACAUAGCCACAGGCAUUGGCUUUGCCCAUCCAGUCCCCUCUAUACAGCCCAUUCAUAUGACCUGAGCACUAAAUAAAGACCUCAGAAUGGCAGAGAUACAGCCAGGGAGCCGCUGCUUACUAAAUUACUAAAAUGUAAUGCCUCACUGGGUUGGAUGCCGGCAUUGGCAGGGCUUUUGUUUGUUGGUUUGUCUAUUUGUUUAGCAAAAUUAGCAAGCAAAAUUAAACCCUUGUCACCUUCUUCAGCCGGAAUGUGAGCUGGAAGACCAUUCUCCAGAGCAGAGCCUUCAUUUGCAGGCUUUUCUAUAACUGGGGAGCAGUGGAGGGACAGGAGGUGGAAGGGCACUGCUGUAACCACCACAGGGCAUCUUACUCAGCCCCAGGAGUGAAAGUGGAAAGAAAAGCACAGGCAGAGAGACCUGCACACUUUCCCUGCUCCCUAGAGGACCCUGCCAAUCCCGGGCUGUCUGGGUACUGCCUCCCAGGAGCUCUGUAGGAAACUGGAAAGGGAGUGGUUGGAAACACAGUCUCUGCAGUCGGAGCUGGAACAAGUCACUGAAUCCCUCUGUGUCUCCACUUCCUUGUUUUAUCUCAAGGAUGAUAAU